Molecule: long non-coding RNA, 2240 nt
Organism: Mirounga angustirostris (Northern elephant seal)
Lineage: Eukaryota; Metazoa; Chordata; Mammalia; Carnivora; Phocidae
Exons: 3
Source: RefSeq, a predicted model, not a curated record
CAGAGGCUGUUUGCGAGCCGAGCGUCUCCGAAAGCCUGCCUCGCAGCGCGCAGCUGGCUCGAGCGGAGGAGAGGAGGCCGCAAGGCGCGUCCAGAUUCCUGUGGCCAAAUUUAAGUAUAUGUGAUUGACUUCAAUAUUCAAAACUGUAUCCAGAACCUGACCACAUCUCACCACCUUCACUGCCAACCCCCCAGUCCAGGCCACCACUGUCUCUGCAGCAGCCGAACGGGUCUCCCCACUUCUGUUCCAGCUUCCCUGUUGUCCACAAUAAAUGCAGCAACCACAGUGACCCUGUAGGCAGUCUGCUCAUUUCACACUUCUGCUGCAAACACUCCAAAGGCUCCCUGUUCCCAUCCGGAGAUAAAAACCAAAGCCCUAGGCCUAGAGGCAUCACACAUCUGUCCACCCCCCCCCCCCCCCGGGUCCUUGCCCCAAACUUUUCUAACCUCACCAGGCACUCUCCCUUUGCUCACUGCUCAGCUCACGGGCCUGGUGGAGAGUCACUGGACACCCCACCCCGAGCAAGCCCCGGCCAGGGCUCCUGCCCCCACCAUUCCUCCCCCAGCAUGUCUUGCCUAGGGGAUUCGCAGUGUGGUUCACCCCCUGUACCGCCUUCAAGCCUCUGCUCAAACGUCACUUUCCCAGCAAGGAGGCCUCAUCACCACCGAAAACACUGUCCCCCGCCCCUCAACACUCUUUAGUCCCCUUCUCCGGGUCCGUUUCCCCACAGCGCUAGCCCCACCUCACAGACUGUGCGUGCUGUUUAUUGUCCAUCUCCCCCAUUCUUAGGAGGAGACUUUGUGGGCUCGUCCAAUCCUAGUACCCCUGUGCCUGGAAUCAGGCCUGGCACACUGUUCCAGAAAUCCCUGAUGACUGAAUGAAUUUCACAGGGUGGAAACUAAGGCCCACACAAAGCAUGACUGUUCCAGACUCCACUAGGAAUUCAUGAAGCUUCAAGAACCGUUUAUUCAGCAUUAGUCUGUACGCUGCACAUACAACCGACAGACUGUCAUGUCCUCUGGAAACAAAAGUAAGUGGUCCUCACACAGGCAAGGGAGCUAUGAAUUUAAAGAAGAGAGAACAAAAUCCCGCUUAACUAGGUAACAGCCGGGGACGGGUGCCGUUUGAAGUGCGGCCUCCCUUUCAUAGCCUCUCCCGGAAAAUUCACGCUAGACAUCUUUCCACGCUCCAUCUAGGUGGAGGACGCUGGUGGCAGCUUGGGUGAGUUGGCGUCUCCGCAUCAGCAGCCCUUACCACUCCAGAGGUGAAAACCAGGCCACUGCCGCUCUCCUUCCACAGCCUCCCAAACCAGAGCUGGGGCCCGCGCUGACCUCAGUGUGUUUGCUGCUCCUCCAGAUCCAAAGACGAGGACCUGCUUGUCAUGUCAAGUUCCGUUUCGGAAAUAUACUAACGAUGUUCGUCCUGCCAUUCAAUGCCAUCUGGGUUGACAAUCUCAGAAAGUCUUUCUGUUAGCGAAUGUUUGAAAUCAUGGACAUUCUUUCCAAGAACACAGAGUCCUUCAGAAUCUAUCUGGACAGGGCCACUGAUGACCACUUCCACGGCCACCACACUGUACGAGCCCCCGAUUACUGCAACAGCCUGCUAAUGGGUCUCUCCACCUGUGGCUCACCACACCCCACACGACGCUGGGAUGAUCCUAUUAAAAUUCUAAGUCCUAUCAUCUCGCUGCUCUCGUUAAAGUCUUCUCGCUCAGAACAAAAGUCCAGUCUUCACCAUGGCCUCCAACGUUCUGAAGCCUGAGUGCACACCAGAAUCACCGAGGAGAUUUUUACACAGAGCAGUUCCGAGGCUCUACCCCAGGUUAAUUCAGUCAGAAUCUCUGGGGUUGGGACCAGGCUUUUUCUUUUUUAAAGCUUCUCAGGUGAUUGAGGCCCGAGCCUCAGCAGCUCGGCUGAGAGGCCUGUUACACAGAUUCCAUCCAGUUGCCUCUUCUCUGCACCUACCCGAAGCCUUCUGAUGCCCACCACCCUGUCUCAGGCUCAGUCACAACUGCCUCCUGGCAUUUCUCUGGCAAGGUGGAAACUCUUGUGUCUCAGGGCUUUGCACCUGCUGUUCCCUCUGCGUGGGAUGCUCUUCCCCUGGGCAGGCACAAUGGCUGUCUUCGCUCCCCACAGCAUUCAGAUCUCUAUUCAAGGUGUUCCCCCCCAUCUGUGAGGCCUUCUCAGACAAGUCCCCACGGAAAAGGGCAGCUCCCCUUCCCACAUCCUGCCCCCUUACCC